This 215-nucleotide long non-coding RNA is filed under the name Oryza brachyantha (malo sina). Its description in RNAcentral is "long non-coding RNA (OBRA_LNC001203)". Lineage: Eukaryota; Viridiplantae; Streptophyta; Magnoliopsida; Poales; Poaceae. The record is from RNAcentral.
UUCGCUACGGAGAGCCCCUUGGAACAAUUUUCCAUUCCUCUCGCUCUCGGUCUCGGUUUGGUCUUACUCAUUUCUUUCUUUUUAUUGCGUAAAGUAUGGAAAAACUGGUAUUUUUUUUGCGAGAAGCAGAAAGAACUCUUAUUAGGCUUGCUUGUGAUUCAAAACCAGCAAGGAAAGGAAAGAGUAGUCGUUUUCAAAAUAGUAAGUAAGAUGUC